GAACCCUUGGCACAGUGGUAGCGCGUGAGAUUCCAGUGUGGGUGCGAGCCCAUCUAGGGAAAUCCUCAAGGUCGUCCGUUCGAUCCGGGCAGGGUUCA
Molecule: transfer RNA, 98 nt
Filed under: Pilatotrama ljubarskyi
Lineage: Eukaryota; Fungi; Basidiomycota; Agaricomycetes; Polyporales; Polyporaceae
Description: tRNA-Trp
Rfam family: tRNA
About the family: Transfer RNA (tRNA) molecules are approximately 80 nucleotides in length. Their secondary structure includes four short double-helical elements and three loops (D, anti-codon, and T loops). Further hydrogen bonds mediate the characteristic L-shaped molecular structure. tRNAs have two regions of fundamental functional importance: the anti-codon, which is responsible for specific mRNA codon recognition, and the 3' end, to which the tRNAs corresponding amino acid is attached (by aminoacyl-tRNA synthetases). tRNAs cope with the degeneracy of the genetic code in two manners: having more than one tRNA (with a specific anti-codon) for a particular amino acid; and 'wobble' base-pairing, i.e. permitting non-standard base-pairing at the 3rd anti-codon position.
Source: RNAcentral